RNAcentral lists this ribosomal RNA (526 nucleotides) under uncultured bacterium. Its description in RNAcentral is "bacterial SSU rRNA". It matches the Rfam family "Bacterial small subunit ribosomal RNA", at positions 271 to 788 of the family's 1533-position model. The record is from RNAcentral.
GGCUUUUGACGGGUAGCUGGUCUGAGAGGACGAUCAGCAACACUGGGACUGAGACACUGCCCAGACUCCUACGGGAGGCUGCAGUCGAGAAUCUUUAGCAAUGGGCGCAAGCCUGACUAUGCGACGCCGCGUGCAGGAUGAAGGCUUUCGGGUUGUAAACUGCUUUUGUCAGGAAAGAAAGCUCUGUAUCAUAACAUGGUACAGGGUUGACGGUACCUGACGAAUAAGCCACGGCCAACUCCGUGCCAGCAGCCGCGGUAAUACGGAGGUGGCGAGCGUUACUCGGAAUCAUUGGGUGUAAAGGGCAAGUAGGCGGCCUAUUAAGUGAGGGGUGAAAUCUUCCGACUCAAUCGGAAAACUGCCUUUCAAACUGAUGGGCUUGAGGUCAGAAGAGGGAAACGGAAUUAGCAGUGUAAGGGUGAAAUCUGUAGAUAUUGCUAAGAACACCGGCGGCGAAGGCGGUUUCCUGGUCUAGACCUGACGCUAAAUUGCGAAAGCUAGGGGAGCAAACAGAAUUAGAUACUCU